Molecule: ribosomal RNA, 252 nt
Filed under: uncultured bacterium
Lineage: Bacteria
Description: partial 16S ribosomal RNA
Rfam family: Bacterial small subunit ribosomal RNA
Source: RNAcentral
GACGUAGGAGGCGAGCGUUGUCCGGAUUCAUUGGGCGUAAAGAGCACGCAGGCGGUUUGGCAGUCGGAUGUGAAAACCCGAAGCUCAACUUCGGGCCUGCAUCCGAAACUGCCCGACUAGAGGUAGGUAGGGGAGAUCGGAAUUCCUGGUGUAGCGGUGAAAUGCGCAGAUAUCAGGAGGAACACCGGUGGCGAAGGCGGAUCCCUGGGCCUUACCUGACGCUCAGGUGCGAAAGCUAGGGGAGCGAACAGG